Molecule: long non-coding RNA, 348 nt
Organism: Mauremys reevesii (Reeves's turtle)
Lineage: Eukaryota; Metazoa; Chordata; Testudines; Geoemydidae
Exons: 3
Source: RefSeq, a predicted model, not a curated record
GCGUUCCUGCCACGGCCGAUGUGGAAACAGGCACUGUGGCAACAGGAAGCAGAAGUGAGGCUGUGCCGCAGGCUGACAUUGUGAUGCAACAAAAUGUAUCUGCUGGACCAUCCUGAGGACCAAACGAGAUUCUGAAGGAUCCUUCAAACUGGAAGAUCCCACUGACGUGACUGCUGGGGAGACCACCUUUGAACCAAUAUGUAUCACUCUGAGCAAGAAGCACAACACAAUCUACCAGGGAGAGAUGAACUUCGAUGCAGCAAAUCUUGUCAUGGUGUUUCGUCGCCUUUGCCUGCAGGAGGUCUGUCAGUCCCACGGCUUUGACGUACCCGCUGCCGAAUUGCCGCC